This 1978-nucleotide long non-coding RNA is filed under the name Hordeum vulgare. RNAcentral's name for it is "long non-coding RNA (HVUL_LNC014099)". The record is from RNAcentral. Lineage: Eukaryota; Viridiplantae; Streptophyta; Magnoliopsida; Poales; Poaceae.
GUCAAUUUAACGAGCCGAUUUUCUACACCCUAUAGCGUGCUAUUAGCGACGCCAUAGCACGCUAUUUUUUCCAGCGAUUCAAAUAUUAAACACUACCCGCACCGGUGCAUUAACUUAAUAAGCGCUACGACAUGCAUCCACACUAAGAUACGGAGUAGCAAUUAAACGAUUCAACCAAAAUCACCAAAUUGAAAAAUAAUAUUUCCCACAAUGUUACCUAAAAAGGACACACGCAUAAAUUCAGUGUUCGGGGUUCCAUGCUAUUAUAGACCAACAACAAACAAGUAAAUCGCAGUUCAUGAUUCCACAAUACACACCACAGGAAACAAAUAAAUUUAGAUGUCACAAGUUUCAGCCAUGACGUUGCUUGUAUGUGAUUGGGCGUAAGAGGAAACAAUGAAUUCGGCGGUUGCUUGCAUGUGUGAUGUGUGCGCCCGGCAUGCUUGGAGACUCUAUGUGUGUCUCUUGUGUGCUGCAUUGUAUUUGUUUGAUGCAUUGCGUGAACCAAAUAUAAAUUAUCGGGAGUUAAAAGUUUCAAGAGAAAGUCCAGGUGCCCACAUUUAGUACAAAAUUGAAGGAAAAACGUAUACCCACCUUUUGUACUGUAAACUACAGGUCAUUAUACGUAUACAAUAUAUAACCACGUACAUGUACGACGACCUACGGUAUACAAUAUGAGGAGCGGAUGUGGUAGGGAGGUGGAGAAUUGGAGUUGCGUAGAAACAGAAACUUAAGGAGAAGAGGACAGCCAGCCAGGUUAGUGCGUGCAUUGAUUUUUCUAUUUUUGAUGGGCUGAUACACAUAUUGAUUUGUACUAGAUCCUUGUCUAACAGGAAUCAAGCGAAACUCUUGUAUGAUUAUGCUAAUGUAAACAGAUGUAGUAUUAGCUUAGUUAUAUCCUCUAUGGUUAGCUUGGUGCAUGAGUGCAUACUUGCUACUCUGUCACAUGUGGUUGUAGCAUUUUAUAUAGCACGCACGCGCGCACAACACCAUAGCGAAGCAGGAGUUCACGACCCGUCUUCUCCAUGCUCUGCUCUAAUACAACUAAGCUGUGCAUCCGAUGGCCCGACUGGACGUUCAUCUGGAACUAGUUUGUUCUAAUAAUUAAAGAAUAUUUGGAUGGCCUGCUCGACAGCAAGAUGCCAUUUUCCUACAAGGACAUGAAAGGAAUUCUGUGACUGCAACAAGAUGAGGUGCUGGCCAUCCUCUGACGAGAAGGCAGUGAUAUGUUGAGCUCCGUCAGAGAUCCUCGGCAAAGUAUAAAGACUACUCGCCUACAACCAUUCAUCCAUGGAAACCGUUGUUUAGUUCUUCAUUUACAGUUACUGCUUCAAUGACCAAGCCAGGGCACAACUGGAGCCGCUGCCCGGAGUAGCCGAGCCAUGGCUCCGCCGCCAGAAAGAGGUGCAGGCAAUGACUGCAAGAAGUGUCAAGAGGUCGCAGCAUGAAAACAAUACCGCCCCCAGACUUUUCCCACUAGUUUUCCCCGACGCCUCCUAUUCAUAAGCAGAAACACACCACAAAACUUUGUGGUCCUUAGUUGCAUUUUCUUCUUUCUCCGUUUUAGCUAGCCUCUCGUUUAUUUCACACAUUUGCUACCUCUUCACAAGACCAUCUCUCCUCUUGCUUGCUAUAGGUGUUACCGCUGCACUAUUGUAUAUGGUUUAGCAAAGACACCGACCUGGGGAGGUAUAAAAAGGCAGGAAAAUGGUGAAUUUAUGGAUCUUGGGAGGGAGGGGUAGGAGGUACGAUUUUCAUUCAUGACGCGACGAGGUAUCAUAUGUAAUAGCACAUGAUCGUGAAUGUUGUUAAGUCAGACCGGUUGCUUCUAGUUUGGCUAAUAAUAAUAGGGUAUUGAUAUUGCCCAUACAUGUGGGCGUGCGUUAAGGUAGUCUUGGCAAUCGUCCCGUGUGAUGUGUAAAAGAAACGGACCACACGUCUAUACGUGGACAAAAUAGAUAACGUUCACAUGUUCGGC